AGCAUGGAUUCAUAUCAGAGAAUUGAUGCUGUCUUGCAGGCGAUGGAUUUGUCUGUAUACAGCUACGUAUCCACUCUUCACUUCGUCGAUUAACAAAUCCCGAAUAUGCCGUUCACUGCUAACAAUGACAAGGUUUUAUAUCUAAAGUGUGUGAUAUCUUAUUAGUUAUGUAUAGGUUUUAUAAAUUUAAAGACAUUUUGGUUGCUG
Paramuricea clavata is the source of this 207-nucleotide non-coding RNA. NCBI's taxonomy places the organism in Eukaryota, Metazoa, Cnidaria, Anthozoa, Malacalcyonacea, Plexauridae. The record is from the annotation of a GenBank genome assembly.